This 424-nucleotide long non-coding RNA is filed under the name Numida meleagris (helmeted guineafowl). Its description in RNAcentral is "lncRNA (ENSNMEG00000004397.1)". Lineage: Eukaryota; Metazoa; Chordata; Aves; Galliformes; Numididae. The record is from RNAcentral.
ACUGAUAGGAGAGAAAAUACAUGAGAGCAAGCUGAGUCCUGCAUUUGAACUCAUGUGGGAAGAACCAGGUUGCAACAGAGUGAAUGCAUCCCCUUCCUGUCACUACCACCCACAUCAUACGGAGUUGGAUUAGAAUUGGCACGUUACUUCCUUAAGCCCAAGGUUUCUUCUCCCUGUGGCAGCGAAGCUAUGCUGUUCUCCAGCUCUCAGGUCAGUCAGCUGGAGUUGGAGCACUUUCAGAAGACCAGUAUUGUCAGCAUAUCUGCUUCCAUAACAAACCACCUCCCUUGGAGCUAAGUAUCUUCUCAUUUAGGAACAAAAAUAAAAAGGAAACAGGCCUUAAAACUAUAAGAUGGCUAUUUCUAACUCUUGGCUUAUCAGAUGGUACUUCAGACAUCUGCAGACAGAUCCUGGCAAGUCUGUG